UACGUAGGGAGCAAGCGUUAUCCGGAUUUAUUGGGUGUAAAGGGUGCGUAGACGGGAGAGCAAGUUGGUUGUGAAAUCCCUCGGCUUAACUGAGGAACUGCAACCAAAACUACUAUUCUUGAGUGCUGGAGAGGAAAGUGGAAUUCCUAGUGUAGCGGUGAAAUGCGUAGAUAUUAGGAGGAACACCAGUGGCGAAGGCGACUUUCUGGACAGUAACUGACGUUGAGGCACGAAAGUGUGGGGAGCAAACAGG
This 253-nucleotide ribosomal RNA is filed under the name uncultured bacterium. Its description in RNAcentral is "partial 16S ribosomal RNA". It matches the Rfam family "Bacterial small subunit ribosomal RNA", at positions 524 to 776 of the family's 1533-position model. The record is from RNAcentral.